Small nucleolar RNA from Caenorhabditis elegans, 171 nucleotides. Lineage: Eukaryota; Metazoa; Nematoda; Chromadorea; Rhabditida; Rhabditidae. The record is from Ensembl.
CAGUGCUUUGCGACGCAGAGUGACUGGCACAACAUGUCAACUGAUAGACAGUGCGGAGAUAGUUUAUGAGUUGUAGAGACGCAGAAUGUCUCGGAAGUUGCUCUCUUUCUAUUCCUCUUCUUCCUUUCACUAUCUCUCUGUUGGUGCUCGCGGUGCCAUAGUCCAGAUCUC